This 1343-nucleotide ribosomal RNA is filed under the name uncultured bacterium. RNAcentral's name for it is "16S ribosomal RNA". It matches the Rfam family "Bacterial small subunit ribosomal RNA", at positions 28 to 1378 of the family's 1533-position model. The record is from RNAcentral.
GACGAACGCUGGCGGCGUGCUUAACACAUGCAAGUCGAACGGAAAGGCCCUGCUUUUGUGGGGUGCUCGAGUGGCGAACGGGUGAGUAACACGUGAGUAACCUGCCCUUGACUUUGGGAUAACUUCAGGAAACUGGGGCUAAUACCGGAUAGGAGCUCCUGCUGCAUGGUGGGGGUUGGAAAGUUUCGGCGGUUGGGGAUGGACUCGCGGCUUAUCAGCUUGUUGGUGGGGUAGUGGCUUACCAAGGCUUUGACGGGUAGCCGGCCUGAGAGGGUGACCGGCCACAUUGGGACUGAGAUACGGCCCAGACUCCUACGGGAGGCAGCAGUGGGGAAUAUUGCACAAUGGGCGGAAGCCUGAUGCAGCAACGCCGCGUGCGGGAUGACGGCCUUCGGGUUGUAAACCGCUUUCGCCUGUGACGAAGCGUGAGUGACGGUAAUGGGUAAAGAAGCACCGGCUAACUACGUGCCAGCAGCCGCGGUGAUACGUAGGGUGCGAGCGUUGUCCGGAUUUAUUGGGCGUAAAGGGCUCGUAGGUGGUUGAUCGCGUCGGAAGUGUAAUCUUGGGGCUUAACCCUGAGCGUGCUUUCGAUACGGGUUGACUUGAGGAAGGUAGGGGAGAAUGGAAUUCCUGGUGGAGCGGUGGAAUGCGCAGAUAUCAGGAGGAACACCAGUGGCGAAGGCGGUUCUCUGGGCCUUUCCUGACGCUGAGGAGCGAAAGCGUGGGGAGCGAACAGGCUUAGAUACCCUGGUAGUCCACGCUGUAAACGGUGGGUACUAGGUGUGGGGUCCAUUCCACGGGUUCCGUGCCGUAGCUAACGCUUUAAGUACCCCGCCUGGGGAGUACGGCCGCAAGGCUAAAACUCAAAGGAAUUGACGGGGCCCCGCACAAGCGGCGGAGCAUGCGGAUUAAUUCGAUGCAACGCGUAGAACCUUACCUGGGUUUGACAUGGAUCGGAAGUGCUCAGAGAUGGGUGUGCCUCUUUUGGGGUCGGUUCACAGGUGGUGCAUGGCUGUCGUCAGCUCGUGUCGUGAGAUGUUGGGUUAAGUCCCGCAACGAGCGCAACCCUUGUUCACUGUUGCCAGCACGUUAUGGUGGGGACUCAGUGGAGACCGCCGGGGUCAACUCGGAGGAAGGUGGGGAUGACGUCAAGUCAUCAUGCCCCUUAUGUCCAGGGCUUCACGCAUGCUACAAUGGCUGGUACAGAGAGUGGCGAGCCUGUGAGGGUGAGCGAAUCUCGGAAAGCCGGUCUCAGUUCGGAUUGGGGUCUGCAACUCGACCUCAUGAAGUCGGAGUCGCUAGUAAUCGCAGAUCAGCAACGCUGCGGUGAAUACGUUCCCGGG